GAGGGUAUAGCUCAAGUGAUAGAGUGUAUAUGCUUAGCAUAUACAAGGUCCUGGGUUCAAUCCCCAGUACCUCCU
This 75-nucleotide transfer RNA is filed under the name Camelus bactrianus (Bactrian camel). It matches the Rfam family "tRNA". Rfam says of the family: Transfer RNA (tRNA) molecules are approximately 80 nucleotides in length. Their secondary structure includes four short double-helical elements and three loops (D, anti-codon, and T loops). Further hydrogen bonds mediate the characteristic L-shaped molecular structure. tRNAs have two regions of fundamental functional importance: the anti-codon, which is responsible for specific mRNA codon recognition, and the 3' end, to which the tRNAs corresponding amino acid is attached (by aminoacyl-tRNA synthetases). tRNAs cope with the degeneracy of the genetic code in two manners: having more than one tRNA (with a specific anti-codon) for a particular amino acid; and 'wobble' base-pairing, i.e. permitting non-standard base-pairing at the 3rd anti-codon position. RNAcentral also lists the same sequence under 3 other names. The record is from Rfam by way of RNAcentral. Lineage: Eukaryota; Metazoa; Chordata; Mammalia; Artiodactyla; Camelidae.